GAUUGAACGCUGGCGGCAGGCCUAACACAUGCAAGUCGAGCGGAUGAGAGGAGCUUGCUCCUGGAUUCAGCGGCGGACGGGUGAGUAAUGCCUAGGAAUCUGCCUGGUAGUGGGGGACAACGUUUCGAAAGGAACGCUAAUACCGCAUACGUCCUACGGGAGAAAGCAGGGGACCUUCGGGCCUUGCGCUAUCAGAUGAGCCUAGGUCGGAUUAGCUAGUUGGUGAGGUAAUGGCUCACCAAGGCGACGAUCCGUAACUGGUCUGAGAGGAUGAUCAGUCACACUGGAACUGAGACACGGUCCAGACUCCUACGGGAGGCAGCAGUGGGGAAUAUUGGACAAUGGGCGAAAGCCUGAUCCAGCCAUGCCGCGUGUGUGAAGAAGGUCUUCGGAUUGUAAAGCACUUUAAGUUGGGAGGAAGGGCAGUAACUUAAUACNUUGCUGUUUUGACG
RNAcentral lists this ribosomal RNA (452 nucleotides) under rape rhizosphere bacterium tsb060. Its description in RNAcentral is "bacterial SSU rRNA". It matches the Rfam family "Bacterial small subunit ribosomal RNA", at positions 27 to 474 of the family's 1533-position model. The record is from RNAcentral.